AAUUAUGCAAUACAAAUAUUUUCUGUCCAAGGGAUUUACUUUUAAUUCAAUACCAACGUAAGCAUUGAAAGGUAGUCUUCACCAUUUCUUUUCACACUUUUCGUCUCAAAAAAGCAAUAAUUCGCUACAAUAAACAAAUUUAAGUGGAUUAAAAGGUGCGAACUGUGCACUUUGAAAAUUAACCUGCAUUUUUUAUGACAAUUAUCCUAUAAAACAUAAUUUUACUCAAUUUGUCAUUUUAAGGUAACGAUUUGAUUGAUUCUUAUUAAUCCGGGCUACGAUAGUUUUUUUAAUUAUUUAUUAUUAAUUAAUUUAUUGUAAGUGGUAUCAAGAGGCAAUUUUCACCACUUAUAAUGAACGAGAAGAUCAUAAUCUAUGGUUAUUUCUGAAUUCAAAACUACUCAAAAAUGUUGAUUGUAUCUUAAUUUAAGACAUUUAAUGUCGAUUAAAGAUAAAUAAUAGAAGAUAAUAAACUGUCUUAAAUCCACUAGAAGUGAUUGAAUGUGAGAUUCUUAAUCUUAUCCCACUUAGAACAUGUCUGUUUAGAAAAUCGGUUGGAUGUAUCAUAUAUAAACAGUGAGAAUCCAAAUGAAAAAUAUACUACAAUUGUGUAACUUAAAGAGAGUCAACAUGGGUUUUAAAGUUGUUGUUAUUGUUGCAGUUUUAGCCCUUAUUAACGGUUGCAUUGAUGCUUCAAUAUUGGAUGCAGUUAAAAUAGAUGAUGUUGGAACAUUACCCCCUAAUGAUUCUGAGUUAUUAAACCAGCCUUGGGUAACAUUUACUAACCUGGAUGAGCAAAUGACAAGUAAUGUUUUAGCUGCAGUACAACUCGCCCUUCAAAUGAAUACAGGCCGAUCUACAUUUGUACAAAGCGUUAUGGGUUCGCUAUAUCCAAAUAUUCGUUUUAAUAUUGUUGAAAGCUUCACUGCCGGUUCUAUAUUUCGUACGCUUCGUGCUUCAAUUGAAGGAUACAAUAGCAACGGAGUACUCACUAGGUUCAUAAUCUUUACAUCACCAUAACUUUUUAAAAAAUGAUUAAUAUUUGAAAGUUACUUUGUUAUCUUUUGACAGAAUUGUUAUGAUUAAUUAAAAAUCGCAAUUUAAA
RNAcentral lists this long non-coding RNA (1105 nucleotides) under Onthophagus taurus. RNAcentral describes it as "uncharacterized LOC111428906, transcript variant X2". The record is from RNAcentral. Lineage: Eukaryota; Metazoa; Arthropoda; Insecta; Coleoptera; Scarabaeidae.